AGUGAACGCUGGCGGCAGGCCUAAUACAUGCAAGUCGAACGGCAGCACAGUGGAGCUUGCUCCAUGGGUGGCGAGUGGCGGACGGGUGAGGAAUACAUGGGAAUCUGCCCAGUCGUGGGGGAUAACGUAGGGAAACUUACGCUAAUACCGCAUGCGCCCUUCGGGGGAAAGCCGGGGACCUUCGGGCCUGGCGCGUUUGGAUGAGCCCAUGUUCGAUUAGCUAGUUGGCGGGGUAAAGGCCCACCAAGGCGACGAUCGAUAGCUGGUCUGAGAGGAUGAUCAGCCACACUGGGACUGAGACACGGCCCAGACUCCUACGGGAGGUAGCAGUAGGGAAUAUUGGACAAUGGGCGCAAGCCUGAUCCAGCCAUGCCGCGUGAGUGAAGAAGGCCCUCGGGUUGUAAAGCUCUUUUGUCCGGGAAGAAAAGCAUCGGGCUAAUACCUCGGUGUUCUGACGGUACCGGAAGAAUAAGCACCGGCUAACUUCGUG
Molecule: ribosomal RNA, 490 nt
Filed under: uncultured bacterium
Lineage: Bacteria
Description: partial 16S ribosomal RNA
Rfam family: Bacterial small subunit ribosomal RNA
Source: RNAcentral